CGUAUACCCGUUUUUAACGCGCUUUCCCUAUUCCUGUAUCCUAUUUUCUGAUUUCUCUCUCUCUCUCUUCUAUCUCUCUCCCUCUGGAUUAUCUCUCCAUACCCGGUCUCUCCACUCUCCACUCACGAGCGUCUCUCUCUCUCUCCACUCACGAGACUCUGUUCUAGAGUUUCUUUUUCCGAUCCACUCUCUGUCUCCGAUUCGAGCAGGGAGCACGGCGCUGAGAAGAACUUUCGAUCCACUCUCUCUGUCUCCGAUCCAAGCACGGCGAGAAGAACUCCGAUCCAAGCACGCCGAGAAGAACGCCGAUCCAAACACGCCGAUCCGCCACAAGCGCCGAUCCACUCUCUCUGUCUCCGAUCCAAGCACGGCGAGAAGAACGCCGAUCCAAGCACUCCGAUCCAAGCACGCCGAUCUGCCGAGAAGAACUUCGAUCCACUCUCUCUGUCUCCGUUGGUGUGUCCGUGUGUGGGUGUGUUUGGUUUUGUGGUGUUUCUGGGUGAUUUUGUUGUUGAUUUUGUGGUUGAUUUUUGAUUUUUGUGGUUGAUUUUUGAUUUUGACUGUGGGAGUGUGUGUAUAAGAGGAAGAAGCAGUUGAUGAUGAUGGUGGUGUUGGUUGUGCAGAUGAAGAGAGAGAAAAAAACGAGCGAAAUUAGAAAUUAUUAUAAUAAUGUAUACACGAGCUACAGUAACCGUGUAUAUAUGCACGGUUACUGUAGCUCAUGGAAAUUUUUAGAUGAUUUUACACAGGUUUACAUGAGCUGA
Long non-coding RNA from Quercus robur (English oak), 764 nucleotides. RefSeq lists it as uncharacterized. Lineage: Eukaryota; Viridiplantae; Streptophyta; Magnoliopsida; Fagales; Fagaceae. The record is from RefSeq and is a predicted model, not a curated record. The transcript has 2 exons.